Molecule: ribosomal RNA, 213 nt
Filed under: uncultured Synechococcus sp.
Lineage: Bacteria; Bacillati; Cyanobacteriota; Cyanophyceae; Synechococcales; Synechococcaceae
Description: partial 23S ribosomal RNA
Rfam family: Bacterial large subunit ribosomal RNA
Source: RNAcentral
UGGUCAAGCUACAAAGGGCUCACGGUGGAUACCUUGGCACACAGAGGCGAUGAAGGACGUGGUUACCUGCGAUAAGUCUCGGGGAGCUGGAAACGCGCUUUGAUCCGGGAAUUUCCGAAUGGGGCAACCCCUAGAACGGCCGCCUGAAUCCAUAGGGCGGUGCGAGCCAACCCAGCGAACUGAAACAUCUUAGUAGCUGGAGGAAAGGAAAGU